Molecule: transfer RNA, 62 nt
Filed under: Curtos costipennis
Lineage: Eukaryota; Metazoa; Arthropoda; Insecta; Coleoptera; Lampyridae
Description: tRNA-Cys
Source: RNAcentral
AGUUUUAUAUUCAAAGAUGAUUUUAAAUUGCAAAUUUAAAGGUGAUUGUAUAUCUAAAACUU